Molecule: ribosomal RNA, 271 nt
Filed under: uncultured bacterium
Lineage: Bacteria
Description: partial 16S ribosomal RNA
Rfam family: Bacterial small subunit ribosomal RNA
Source: RNAcentral
UUGAUGGCGACCGGCGCACGGGUGAGUAACGCGUAUCCAACCCGCCCUUUACUAUGGGACAGCCCGUCGAAAGGCGGAUUAAUACCGUAUGUUGUCAUGUUGAUGCAUAUUUUCAUGACCAAAGGCUUCGGCCGGUAAAGGAUGGGGAUGCGUCUGAUUAGCUUGCCGGCGGGGUAACGGCCCACCGGGGCGACGAUCAGUAGGGGUUCUGAGAGGAAGGUCCCCCACAUUGGAACUGAGACACGGUCCAAACUCCUACGGGAGGCAGCAG